Molecule: RNA transcript, 1665 nt
Organism: Pistacia vera
Lineage: Eukaryota; Viridiplantae; Streptophyta; Magnoliopsida; Sapindales; Anacardiaceae
Gene name: dehydrodolichyl diphosphate synthase 6-like
Exons: 3
Source: RefSeq, a predicted model, not a curated record
CCCAACUGUCUCUCUGUCUCCCUCUAACUCAGAAAACAGAGGAACGAAUUACAAAUCUUUACUCGGUCGAACAUCUCGAGGUUUCUUGGUCUUUCAAAUGGAGAAAUCUAAUUGUAGUAGAGCGAGGCAGAUCCUCGACAGUUUGGUUAGCUUCUUGCGGAAAUUCAUUUUCCGUAUUCUUUCUAUGGGUCCCUUACCUAAUCACAUUGCUUUCAUAAUGGAUGGGAAUCGAAGAUAUGCUAAGAAGCUGAAUUUGAUAGAUGGGGCUGGCCAUAAGGUUGGGUUCUUGGCUGUCACGUCCAUGCUCAAAUUUUGCUAUGAGUUGGGUGUAAGAAAUGUAACAAUUUAUGCCUUCAGCAUUGAUAAUUUUAAACGGAGCCCUGAAGAAGUUCAAUCCUUGAUGGAGUUAAUGCAGGAAAAGAUAGAAGGAUUGAUUAAGGAUGAGAGCAUUGUCAACUGUUAUGGAGUAAGAGUUUACUUUGUAGGGAAUCUAAAACUCUUGAGUGAACCUGUUAGGUUGGCAGCAGAGAGGGCUAUGCUGGCUACUGCAAAAAAUUCCAAAGCUGUUCUGUCAAUCUGUGUCGCCUACACUUCAACCAACGAAAUUGUUAAUGCUGUUGAGGAAUCAGUUGAAGAGAAAUGGAAUCAAAUUACUGUACUAGAAGCUAGUGGAGCAGGUUAUGGUUUAAUUAAACUUGGAGGGAUUGAACAUCAUGAAAGUGAGCCCCUUAUAAAACUUGUAGAUAUAGAAAAGCAUAUGUAUAUGGCAGUUGCACCUGAUCCGGAUAUCAUAAUCCGUACUUCUGGUGAGGCCCGUUUGAGCAAUUUUCUUCUAUGGCAGAGUGCAUUCUGCUAUCUGUAUUCACCUUCUGUACUCUGGCCAGAGAUUGGCUUGCGCCACUUUCUUUGGGCAAUAUUAAACUUUCAGCGACACCACUCAUAUUUGAACAAAAAAGGGGAACAAUUACAGCAUCUUUUGCAGGAUGGCUUCUGACCUUUUAAGACUUUUAUUUGAUUCUUGGUUUAUCACUUCUUGUUCUUGAAUUACUCUCAGCGACGGUAAAAGAUUACAACAUGGGCUGGAACUUGUUUUUGGUGUCCCGGCUGUUGGUACAUUCCCUAGAAAAUACGAAUACAGUAUAUUGAUCAGCAAAGAAGGAAAAUACUUUCUGAGACUGCAGUAUGUGUUUCUGCAACCAAGUUUGGGCAUACAUUGACGGUUGUAGUUUAUAUUUUCCAUGAAUUACGGGUGAUCUACUUUAUGUUUAAUAUACUCAAGAUAUCAGUUAGAACGGCCAUUAAUAUUUCUACUGCCUCUGUCUCAGAGAUUUCUUCAGAGUAGAAUAGACUAGGGUGUUUCAUUUGAAAGACCAAAAUACAAUCGCAGCCAAAAUUGUGACCUCUCUUCAGUUAUUGAUUGGAGAAGAAAAGAAGUGACAGAGGCAGCGGCUGAAGUUUUUACAUGACAACAUAGUGACCAUCUGGGUCAGACAUUAAAAUUUUGUCUGUGUUUCUAUUAUCUAUAUAAAUAGAGCGUCGGGUAAGAGCCCUUCUAAAAUCACUGAGCGAUUUCAGGUGAACGGUCUAGUCAUAUGCAUUGUUGGAACCAUAGCCCAAUGCUAAGUAAGUUUUUGUGAACCAUUGCCUCGGAGACUUACUUUUUUA